GCUCUGGUUCACCAUAUGGAUGCUCUUAUUUGAGACACACACAACACACACACACACACACACACACGUACACAUGUGUGUGCGUGUGUGUAUGUGAGUUGUACAGCGUAUGGAUGUACCCAUUCUUGAAUUUCCCCUGGGGAUCAAUAAAGUAUCUAUCUAUCUAUCCAUCUGUAAGAUAUAUCCACCAUUCCCAUCCUCCCACUGCUCAAGUUCACUUGCCCACAUCAUCUAAGCUGCCUUCUGGAAAUAUCCACACACACACACACACACACACACAGCAGUUCCAGGUAUUGUGCAUAUGCUUCUGAUCAUUAUUUUCUUCCAUUUAUCUUGUCCCUUUUUAUCAUGAAUAGGCCUGAAGGCAGGUACUGUAUGUGCUGUACAGUAUGUGUGUGUGUGUGUGGGUGGGUGUCAUGUUUCAUCUGACCAUACAUUCACAUAUGAGCUGUGUCCUGCAGAGACAGUUAAUCAAGGCAAUCAGCCUUUCCGUUGGAAGCAUUGUAGUAAUUACAAGAGCCUUAAACAAGUUAUAAUGAGCACAAUGCUAAGCUAAUCCACUCUAACAUGUCUGUCUGUGUGUGUGGGAGGUAGCUAUGUAUGCAAAUCUGUGUGUGUGUGUGUGUGUGUGUGUGUGUGUGUGUGUGUGUGUGUGUUCAUGAGUAUGAGUUCAUCUGUUUACUAUUGAUCCUGAGGCAGGAUCACACCAGCUGCACCCACAGGAGGCUGUGCUGCCGCUGUGCUACUGCCUGAGGUGAGACGGUCUGUAAUUACGCAUCGGAGAUCCGAGACUCUCUUGGCACACCGCACACAAGCAGGAGCUGCUCUCCCUGCCAGAGCACUCAUUUAACGGCAGAAAGGCAAAACAGACCACCUAGUGAAACUUGCACUCUCCGCUAUGAUUCCUUACUCUUAGUCUCUUACUUUUUCCCUGUUCCUCCUCUCCGCUAGCUAUUUAGCACCACUCGAAGAAUAUUGUUGGUUUACUGUUGUUGUUUUUUCCAAAAGAAAUGUAAACAAACCUCAGUACUCAAGGUACACAUCUGUAAUCAAAUUAGAGGAACAUAAAAAUUGCAGGAUGCUUAUUGAGUAUUGAAAGAGCAACUGUAAAGAGGGAAAAUUGAGCUUCAAAUGUUAGCAUUAUGAGCAAAUCAAAUCCCUUUCAGUGUAAUUUUAAUUGACACAUUAGUGACGGUUAGUACAUGGAGUGCCUCCAGACCACUAGGAAUUCAGUUCAAAGUGGUCUAUUAAAUGUCUGACUAAUGUAUUACAUCAAGCAAUGAAUGAUAUGUGCUUCCCCUCCUUAUCUGUGCAAUGGUUUCAUAUUCUUUUACCUUUUUGUGUUAUUUUUUUUUUGUUCUUCUCAUGCACCCAUCUUUCAUAACAGUGUGUAGGUGCACAGGUGAUCUUUAGAAUGAUGUGUAGACCCACAGACCCAGAAACCAAGACCCAUGGGAACACAGACACACACACACCUGAGAAAUCUUUACCUCUGGAGAAGGGGGACAUUUGCAAAGGAAGUGGAAAUUUCUGUCGGAUCGGAACAAGGAAAUAUGAAGUCGGAUAUAUCCAUCCUUUAAGCUCUCAGACACAGCAUCAGGAAUAUGUCUGGCCUUGAUGUUGUCCCCCGUCACUGUCAUCUGUGACCUCGUCUCUAAGUCACUCCUCUACUUCCAUCUGAAUCACUCCUACCAAAACAUUUCUGUUUGCUGAUUCACCACUUCAUUUGGGCAGGAAGAGAUGGGUCUCCAGCUGGAAUACUGGCCAGCCAGCCAAGGCAAUCGAAUCAAAGACAGAA
Alosa sapidissima (American shad) is the source of this 1798-nucleotide long non-coding RNA. RefSeq lists it as uncharacterized. Lineage: Eukaryota; Metazoa; Chordata; Actinopteri; Clupeiformes; Clupeidae. The transcript has 3 exons. The record is from RefSeq and is a predicted model, not a curated record.